Molecule: microRNA, 22 nt
Filed under: Branchiostoma floridae (Florida lancelet)
Lineage: Eukaryota; Metazoa; Chordata; Leptocardii; Amphioxiformes; Branchiostomatidae
Also listed under: 1 other name
Description: bfl-miR-4886
Source: miRBase by way of RNAcentral
UUUGCCGAACCCGUUUUGAAUG